This is a long non-coding RNA of Melitaea cinxia (Glanville fritillary), 373 nucleotides long. RefSeq lists it as uncharacterized. The transcript is spliced from 2 exons. The record is from RefSeq and is a predicted model, not a curated record. NCBI's taxonomy places the organism in Eukaryota, Metazoa, Arthropoda, Insecta, Lepidoptera, Nymphalidae.
UUAACACUAAUAAAAUAGAACGAAGUACAAACUACCCCGCUAUAGCUACAGGGAGCUGGGGCUGUGGUGCCUUUGGGGGUAACGCUCGCCUUAACCUUAUUACAACUAAUGGCCUGUGUGGAGGCGGACAGGCCAAUGUCCUAUUAUACCUUUGGAGAUGUUGAACUAAGAUCACAAUCAUCAUAUCAACAAAAUGUAUAGUUUUCUUGUACAACAUAAAGUUACUGUUGGCGAAUUGUAUAAAUGUAUUCUAGAGUUCUGCGAUUCUGAAAUCCCAAGAGAAAAUUUCUAUGGAUACUUGGAAGAUCAUAUAAAGGAAAUAUAGUGCUUCUUUGUAAAAUUAUAGUCACAAAAUAAAACACAUACCAUAAUA